Molecule: ribosomal RNA, 405 nt
Filed under: uncultured bacterium
Lineage: Bacteria
Description: partial 16S ribosomal RNA
Rfam family: Bacterial small subunit ribosomal RNA
Source: RNAcentral
AUUGAACGCUGGCGGCAGGCCUAACACAUGCACGUCGAACGAGUGGCGGACGGGUGAGUAAUGUCUGGGACACUGCCUGAUGGAGGGGGAUAACUACUGGAAACGGUAGCUAAUACCGCAUACCAUCGGAUGUUCCCAGAUGGGAUUCGCUAGUAGGUGGGGUAAAGGCUCACCUAGGAGACGAUCCCUAGCGGGUCUGAGAGGAUGACCAGCCACACUGGAACUGAGACACGGUCCAGACGCCUACGGGAGGCAGCAGGGGGGAAUAUGGCACAAGGGGCGCAAGCAUGAUGCAGCGAUGCCGCGUGUAUGAAGAAGGCCUGGGGGUUGGAAAGUACUUUCAGCUGGGAGGCGUUACCCGCAGAAGAAGCACCGGCUAACUCCGUGCCAGCAGCCGGGUAAUAC